UUAGGGUGGCUAAUUAGCCAGUCACAUGUUAGCUUUAUGGCUACUGUUUGUGUGAAUGGUCAGUAAGCACACCUAUAGCAAUGUCGUUGGUGAUUCGUUUCAACACUAGAACAGGAUUUAACCCAGUUUUUGGUUAUGGAUCAUCAACUAUAUCU
This 155-nucleotide small nucleolar RNA is filed under the name Arabidopsis thaliana (thale cress). RNAcentral's name for it is "ncRNA (AT5G01135)". Lineage: Eukaryota; Viridiplantae; Streptophyta; Magnoliopsida; Brassicales; Brassicaceae. The record is from RNAcentral.